GAUAAAGUGGCUGAGAUAAGCGGUAAAUUGUAAAUUUAUAAACGAAAUUGAUAUUUCCUUUAUCA
RNAcentral lists this transfer RNA (65 nucleotides) under Apogonia splendida. RNAcentral describes it as "tRNA-Tyr". It matches the Rfam family "tRNA". From Rfam's summary of the family: Transfer RNA (tRNA) molecules are approximately 80 nucleotides in length. Their secondary structure includes four short double-helical elements and three loops (D, anti-codon, and T loops). The record is from RNAcentral. Lineage: Eukaryota; Metazoa; Arthropoda; Insecta; Coleoptera; Scarabaeidae.